CACACGUACACUUCUGAUCGCGAUGGGCACCGAUCCGGAUCUGAAAUUCCCGACUGCGAUUGGCUCUCCCACAUUUCGUGCAAAGGAGCCAAUCACGACCGGGAAAUUGGAUCCAGAUCGGGUGUGAUCGCGGUCAAACGUAUGCCAUGUGACACGCGUAUUACAUUACCCUUGCUAAUAUCCUACCUCUAAAGCAAGGGCGAAGAGCCAUUUCGAGGCGUAGGCGGGAAGAUAAAAGUUCUUUUUUCCACGUCGGCCACGUCCAUACAGUUUCGCAGGUAUACGGACGGGUAUUUGGACUGGUGUGACUGGAGGCAAUGAAGAAUUUCAUAUGCAGUAGUGUCAUCUCUUGGGCCGUAUUGGCGCUUCUUUUGCCCACAAUAGAAAAGAGAGAUUCCUUUUCUGCCAUCGCUGUCGUUUAUUAUGGGCCAAGUGCAGGAUGUGGCCAUAAACCUGGUCACCAUGGAGCACCCAAGAAGGGGCAAAAUCAUACACAUGGGAAAGGUCAAACGGAUAAUCCCACCAGAAGCAGGGUGAAGCGAGCCAUCGGAAAUGUAAAAAAACACGCUCUGAACGUUACCAAGACUAUGACUGUGAUAGUCUAAACACAAAAGAAAUCCGGAAAUAAAAAUUUUCAGAACAGUGGGGAAAGCCUCUGAGGGGGCUUUCUCUAUUCUACC
Long non-coding RNA from Dermacentor albipictus, 680 nucleotides. RefSeq lists it as uncharacterized. NCBI's taxonomy places the organism in Eukaryota, Metazoa, Arthropoda, Arachnida, Ixodida, Ixodidae. The record is from RefSeq and is a predicted model, not a curated record.